RNAcentral lists this long non-coding RNA (213 nucleotides) under Sorghum bicolor (sorghum). Its description in RNAcentral is "long non-coding RNA (SBIC_LNC011544)". Lineage: Eukaryota; Viridiplantae; Streptophyta; Magnoliopsida; Poales; Poaceae. The record is from RNAcentral.
GGCCGUAGAUGGGAGGGCUCAGGAAGGUGGGUGCGGCCACCUGCUAGCCAGGCCUUCGGCUCCUGCUUGGGCCAGGGCGAGGAGGACAAGGGAAUGGAACAGGGGCAUGCCUGGGCCGACGGGGUUAGGAAGAGAAGGAGGGUGGGGGAGAUGGUGGGCUGGUUGGGCUAAGAAGUAAAGAAGAAGAUUUUUCAUUACUGACUUGGAAAUUUA